AGACAAAUAAGUCCCAAACCCUAGCUUGCUCAAAAGUCAAAACACACACUCUCAAACACUCGCCUCUCUCUGCUCUCAAACACUCGCCUCUCCGCUCUCAAUCGCUCAAUCGCUCACUCCUCUCUUCUCUUAACGGUAAGCCCACUCCUCUCUUCUCUCCCAAUCGCUCUCUUCUCUUCUCUCUCAAUCACUCAGUCGUCUCAAUCGCUCACUCCUCUUUAUGGUUUCUUCAUCUCCUUUCUCUUCUCUCUUCGGUUUUGUAUAUUGAUUUAGGGCACUCUCUCCAGUCUCCGGCCACUCAUGAACGCCCCUUUUGCCAGACGUUAUCCAAGACGGCGGAGUUCGGGGUCUAGAAUGUCGAUGAUUUGAUGAACUCGGCUGCCCACUACAAUUUGGAUUUGAUUUGGUGAUUUCAGGGCCUUCUCAAUCCUUCUCCCUUUCAUUUUCUCUCGAGCUCUAUAUUCUCUCCUCUUUUCUGAUGCGAUUAGGUGGCUGAUGAUUUCUUGUUUCAUGGUGGAAGGCCAAGCUAGUCCAGGCGGCAGCGNNNNNNNNNNNNNNNNNNNNGAGGCCGGCGGCGUUGGAUCCGUGACGGAAAGAGCUUUCUGGGGAUAUAAAAUUCCGGCGGAGGGCAGUCAGAAUUUUGGUCGGAAAUCGGGAAAAACAAGGCUGCCCGAUUUUAGGGUUUUGGUUUUUAGGGUUUGGAAAAAAAAUGGUGGACUAUUGGCUCUAGGGUUAGAACAAAGUGCCUGAUAACGUGAUGAAGGAUUAAUGGUAGAGACAAAGAGAUAGAAAGAGAAUCAUCUUAUUCAUUGAUAGGAGCCCUUUAUAUAGGGAAUUACACAAUACCAAUAUGGUAAGGAUAUGAAUACAUAGAUCUAGUCUAACUACAUAUCCUAUUGGCAUAAGGCCAAGGCACACAUAGAGAAUAUCCUAGAACAUUCACAAUAUUGUUGGCUUCCAGAGACCAAAAAGUAAUGCAAAGGCAUGAUGUAAACCACUUACUUCAUUUUCAGCUGCUUUCAGGUUAUGAGCUGAGUCAUACGCCUGUGAGUACUUUUAAUAAAAUAGAGGUGUUCACCCUUGUCCUUCAAUUUCUUCGCAUUGUAGAUGAAAGGCCUCACCCCGGUGUGGUGGUGCAAUGUCUUCUUGUCCCGGUUACUCUUGUUUGCAGCCGAUCUUCUCUGUAAUUUCAUCAUAUUAACACUUUGGUUAUUAACAUCAAGCUUAAUCAUCAAAAACCACAAACAGAAAACUGACUAAAUGAACAGUAGUAAUGCAAAACCCAGAUAUAUACUUGUACCCAGAGAAACUGUUGUAGUAAUGCAAGUAAUAUAUAUACUUGUACAUGGAGAAACUGCUGUAGUUGUCACGCCCCAAUUUUUUUGAAAGAUAAAUUUCAAAUAUUUUGGCAUGAUAUAUCCUAAAAUAUUAAUAUCCCAAAACCUGUUUCAACAAAAAUCAAGGAAAAUAAACUCAAUGCGAAAUGUAAAUUUACACACAACUCCAAAUUGAGUUAAAUAUUACAUUUUCUUGUUUACAUAACUUGAGAACAAGAAAGGAAACGCUCACAUGAGUUUAAUAAUUCCUAUCCCCGUGUAUAUAAACGAAUAUACAAAGACACACCCAAAACCCAACAAAAAACCCUGCCACUACGCCUCCAUCUCAACCCUGCUGAUCCUCACCUGCAGGUCUAACCCCUACACCAAGAAAUGGUGCACCGGGUUGUAAACAACACACCCGGUAAGCUAAAAAGCUCGUAUGAGUAAACUAAAAAAAACAACACAACAUUUAUCACAUCCAAUAUUCACAAGAGAGAUUGGAUCAAUAAUUUCAAACCACACAUCAAACACAUUACCCAAGAGAUGUACCCAUGAGUCCUAGAUAUUUAAUAAAAUACCUCUCAUGAUCUACCACAACACUAUGUGUACCCAUGGGUCCCAGAUACCAUACAGUAUCUCCCAUGACCUACACUGACAGACGGACUAGAGCUCUAUUCCUAACCGUAACCAAUCACCCGGCCAAAGGCUUGGAACCCGGUUUGACUGUCUAAUAUCAAUACAAAAAUGAUAAAUAGCAUCUUAACCGCAACCAAUCACCCAAAAAGGGCUUGGAACCCGGUUUGGCUAUUUAUCCAACAAGCACAAUAAUUUUCACAACAUUAUCCACAACAACACAAGAUCACAAUUAUUAUUCUCAACAACAUAAUAUAUAAAUCACAUCAUUAUUCUCAACAUCACAAUAUAAAGAAAACUUGUUUUUAUCUUACCUAUGAGCCGUUUGCGAUCAAGCUCAUGAAAUUUUAAAAACAAUUAAAAGCAUGAUAUUAAAACCAACAUCACCAUCAUUAUCAUUAUAU
This 2356-nucleotide long non-coding RNA is filed under the name Fragaria vesca (wild strawberry). RNAcentral describes it as "long non-coding RNA (FVES_LNC005528)". The record is from RNAcentral. Lineage: Eukaryota; Viridiplantae; Streptophyta; Magnoliopsida; Rosales; Rosaceae.